Molecule: non-coding RNA, 393 nt
Organism: Melozone crissalis (California towhee)
Lineage: Eukaryota; Metazoa; Chordata; Aves; Passeriformes; Passerellidae
Source: the annotation of a RefSeq genome assembly
AUGGCCUGGAUCCGCCAGAGACCCGGGCAGGCACUGGAGUUCAUUGCAGAUAUCAGCACCACUGACAGCACCAGCUACGCGCAUUCGGUCAAGGGGCUCCGGGCGGCCGUGACCCUGCUGGAGUGCGGAGGGCACCUCCAGCCCCCCGGGGGGACCCUGCGCCUCCUCUGCCGAGGGUCCGAGUUCUGUUCCGGUGGUUUCCACAUGAGCUGGUAUCGCCAGAGACCCGGGCAGCGGCUGGAGUGGGUCGCGAGUGUCAGUAACACCGGUGGCACCACCUGGUACGCGGAUUCCGUCAAGGGCCGGUUCAGGAUCUCCAGGGACAACGGGCAGAGCUCGGUGACGCUGACCAUGAACAACCUCAAGGACGAAGAUUCCGGAUCCUAUUUCUGU